UGACAACAUGGUGUUUUAGGAAGCGGACCACUAGGAACAAGAAGUAUCGUGUGUUGGCCCUUCUUGUGGUAUCAAGAUAUUCUUUUUGUUUUUUUACGGAGAAGACUUAAAAUAAUGCUACUUGGAACUACGUUAUUCGUGGCUGUAGUGUUAGCAUGUUCAGAGGCCCUGCAACGACAGACCCCAAGCUGGUAUAAUACCCGAGGAAGACGAUUAUGGCUGAUCAAUAGACUAGAUCAUAAUAGAAGGCAGUGUGUCGUGGACUACCGGGAAAGAUUUGGAUUUAAUACCAUAUUUACUGUUAGCCGCGGUGGCAAGUGUAUGAAAUUCUACUGUUCUCCCAGAUUUGGAGUUCGUCUUAUCAGUACCAGAUCAGGAUGUCCGUACAAUGAUAGAUGCAUAAAACGGGGUGGACAGAUAACAGAAGAUUGUGCGACAUAUGAAUGUUAUUUUUGGUCUAGGAAAACUCAAACGCACGUGUCCUUUCAAAAUAUUUGGUACUUGAGGAAAGAAGGUUGUUUGAAUCGAGGUAAAUGUCUGGCAAUACGCGAAAAAUUUAUUGACACCAAAUAUUGUGGUGUUUAUAUAUGUUAUAAGAAAUAUGCCGCGGGUAAAGCUAAAUAUGAUAUGGUGCUAGCGGAGAAUAGAUGUCCGUAUCUAGGUAAUUGUAUUAUUAUAGAUAAACGUUAUAUACUACAGUUUAAAGGUAUUUGUAACAUUAUACAGUGUAAAUACAAGAAAACAAACGAGGGAAAUAUGACGUUGAAUAUCCUCGAAAACCGGUGUGAGGAACCAGAUGGAACAUGUUCGAGAGAAGGCACAAUCAAGCAAGCAGAUGACUGUUAUAGGGCACGAUGUAAAUCUUUAUCUGAUGGUAGAGCUUACUAUUAUACCGAAUACAGAAACACCCUGGCUUGUCGACGAAAAUACGGAUAACAUUUAACAUGGCGCUCGAAUUUUGGUUUUAAAUGAUAAAUGAUUCCAUUGAAACCCUCUACGUGUUUAAAAUUAUUGAUCACAGUUUUUUUUCUCUUAGCACAACACGAAUAAAAUGUAA
Patella vulgata (common limpet) is the source of this 1057-nucleotide long non-coding RNA. RefSeq lists it as uncharacterized. The transcript is spliced from 7 exons. The record is from RefSeq and is a predicted model, not a curated record. NCBI's taxonomy places the organism in Eukaryota, Metazoa, Mollusca, Gastropoda, Patellidae.